Molecule: long non-coding RNA, 825 nt
Organism: Penaeus chinensis
Lineage: Eukaryota; Metazoa; Arthropoda; Malacostraca; Decapoda; Penaeidae
Exons: 3
Source: RefSeq, a predicted model, not a curated record
GUUGGUCGCGUUCAGAGGUCUCGGCAGGGAGCGCUUCCCGUCCGUCGGCUGCCUCGCGCCCUUCGCUUCUCUGACAAAGACCGUGGUUUAUUAUAGGAUUUUGAGGCGGAAUCUGCCUUCAUUUCGUUCUUCGGCAUUCGUAGAGGACGCAUGCGAUGGUUCCUUGUUCCCCAAGACCCUGUCAGUCGCUGGCGACUUCAAGAAACAAAGUUCGACGUUGACUGUUGUGUUUGUGGCCGCGUUUUCUGUCGACGGCGAGCGUACGCUGUGACCAGCAUCCGGGGUGGGAGGGCGCUGCGGGGGGGACUUUCGAAACUUGUUGCUCAGCAUAACAAACUGUUUCCAGGACGCUAUUAUUGUGGGUCAGGCCAAGCAUUGCACGAAAAUAGUAACAAUAUCGAUGUGUAGUGCAUGAAAAUGAUUAGUUCCCUGUCAGUGCGCUUUUUGCAGGAACUGAGGCGAGGCGCAGCACAUGGAACUGAAUGCAAGUGAAAGCAGCAUCACAUAAUGGGACCAAUCACUGAUAAGACUAACUUCCAUAUUCAUGAAGCUUGUUGAGAUCUUGCAACACAAAAGCUGCGAUCAACCGAUUUCCAUAUUUUUUCAACUGCAGCAAGGUCCCGACCAUCGAAGUGUGUAGGAGGAACAAUUCCGUCGACCGACCUUCCCUUCCACCCUGCCAUACAGUCGUCCUCACCGACACACCCUCUCCUUUCCUCUAAUUUCCCUCCCCCUCCCUGUCCUCCCUCCCCCUCCCCUCUUUCCCCCACUCCCCGCCAAUCCCCCUCCCCCUCUCUCUCUCCCCCUCCCCGCCUAUUCUCCUCU